RNAcentral lists this ribosomal RNA (430 nucleotides) under uncultured bacterium. RNAcentral's name for it is "bacterial SSU rRNA". It matches the Rfam family "Bacterial small subunit ribosomal RNA", at positions 355 to 776 of the family's 1533-position model. The record is from RNAcentral.
UGGGGAAUCUUGCGCAAUGGGCGAAUGCCUGACGCAGCGACGCCGCGUGUGGGAUGAAGGCCUUCGGGUUGUAAACCACUGUCGGGAGGGACGAAGGCCCGGCGGCGAAUAGCCGACCGGGAUUGACGGUACCUCCAAAGGAAGCACCGGCUAACUCCGUGCCAGCAGCCGCGGUAAUACGGAGGGUGCGAGCGUUGUCCGGAAUCACUGGGCGUAAAGGGCGCGUAGGCGGCUGGGUAAGUCACGUGUGAAAUUCCGGGGCUCAACUCCGGAACGGCAGGUGGGACUGCCCGGCUGGAGCACGGUAGAGGCGAGUGGAAUUCCAGGUGUAGCGGUGGAAUGCGUAGAUAUCUGGAAGAACACCAGUGGCGAAGGCGGCUCGCUGGGCCGUUGCUGACGCUGAGGCGCGAAAGCGUGGGGAGCAAACAGG